Erythranthe guttata (spotted monkey flower) is the source of this 1895-nucleotide non-coding RNA. The record is from RefSeq and is a predicted model, not a curated record. Lineage: Eukaryota; Viridiplantae; Streptophyta; Magnoliopsida; Lamiales; Phrymaceae.
UUUUUUUUUUUUUUUCUUUCUACACGUGAUUCAACCUGUUCUUUCUUCUUUGAUUUAGGGAUUCCAGAAAGCAAGUUUGUUUACAUUUGGUUUCUUUUAUCCAAUUCUUAUUCAGUUUGGAAAGAUAUAAUAGUAUAUUUUUUUGAAAUCCUUGCUUUCAUGGUUAUCUGAUUGUUCAAAUGGAUUUUUUUUUCUCAUAUUUUAUGGAUCCUUGGUUAUGUUUGUAGCGGCACUCAUUUUUGCUGUAAAGAAAACAAAGGUUUUUUAUUUUCAUUUUUUCGGUUUUAAAUAUUCCUUUGUAUAAAUGAUUGGAGAUUUAUGGCAUGGCGCUCAGAUUUGAGGAGGAAUACGGGCCAGUAGAGAUUUCCUAUCGAAGGUAACUAAACAUUUGUGUUAAGUUAUACCUGCCAUUGCCACCUUUGUCUGUUCUACUUUUCAUCAUAUCGCGAAAUCAUAGCGACGAAAUCAUCAGGAAACAGGUCUGCAUAAAAGCCCGGAAUAUUUUCUUCAAAAAUUGGAUCUUGUUUUCGUCGACGACCCUUUUCGGUGUAUGUAAUGAUUGCCGAUCUUUGUGGCUGUUUUUGGAUUAUUUAUUGUUAUUUUCAGGAAUUUACCAAAAUGUGAAUUUUUUUUAUGACUGUCCUGCUUAUAUAGAAGAAUGCAUGAUCGAAAAAAGACCGUUUGAUGGCCUUUUUGUUUUUUAACAGGUUUAUCUUUUUUUUUAAGUCAAUUUAUUAAUGUAAUUUCACUCUUACUUCAAUUGUUUAAACACUAUCCAUUAUGUUGUCUUUUGUUUCCUUCAUUGCUAUUUAACAGGAGGUUCUUCAUGAAGGAACUAUGAAGCAAGACUAUACAGAGGUUUCUACAUGGAUUUGUGUUUGUUGUAGUUGAAUGGUAAUUAUUUUCCUUGUAAAUCUUUAAGAGCUGCAAUAAAUAGAAAUUUAUAUCUUCGCUUGCUAUUAACAGUAGUUUUACUGUCAGUGCUUAGGAUGUGGAAGGUUCACCUCUCCACUUCUCAUUAUCCCGAGGUAUUUUACUUUUUAAUUUUUUCUUUUCUUCCCCAUUUUGUACUGGUUUUGUAGAUAAGAAUGGAGCAGCCGGAUUUUGUAUUCGAAGUUGUUUUCCCAUUUCCUUGCGGAUUCAGAGUAACUUCUUAACAAUUUGCGAUUGCCCUAUUUUGACCAGGAUGCUGCUCAUGUUCACCACUUCAAAGCAUAGAUGCCCUGAGGGUCAAGAAUUUGUGUGUUGCCUUCAGAAACUUCUGUGAAGAGAAGAACUUCGACGUGUGAGUUCAACCUUAUUUUAAUUAGAAAUUAUCAAUCUCAUAGAUGAAGUUGUCUAUUUGGACAUGAUAUUGCCUGGUUUAGUGCUACUGCCAAAUUAUGUUCUAAAGUUAGCUAUGUUAGUAGUUGUGCCUAAUGAAUUAUCUGUGUGCUACUAAUAUGAACUGUUCUUUUUUGUGUAACUAAAAGGCCCAAUUUCCUGAACAGUGCCUCGGUAGAAGCAAACCCAAAUAAUACACAGGCCCUCGGUCACCGAGCCGACCUCGUCCGACACCAUUUACGAGAAGGUGAGGUCGUCUCAAUCAUAUACUGUUUCAGCAAGGUCAAUUUCGGCGAGCAAGAGGUGUGUAUCUUCAGUUGGAGAGAGCGGAAGUACCCCAAUGGCUAAAGGCCAAAUCAGGCCUCAAAGUCGGGAUACUGGAAAGCCACUGGUAUAGGAUAUCACCAGGUUUUUGUAAUAGUUUUGUUUAUUACAGGAUAUCAGAAAAAACCGAGGGAGUUUGGGUAUUUAAGAAUUUUUCUUGCUCAUUGAGUAAUUUUGAUUUUAUUUUUGUUUGUUUAGCGCAUAGUCUUGCUCGUUGGCAUAUGGUUCUAAAUAAGUACAUUUCUUUA